Long non-coding RNA from Anneissia japonica, 1007 nucleotides. RefSeq lists it as uncharacterized. NCBI's taxonomy places the organism in Eukaryota, Metazoa, Echinodermata, Crinoidea, Comatulida, Comatulidae. The transcript is spliced from 3 exons. The record is from RefSeq and is a predicted model, not a curated record.
UAGGAAGCAAGGACAACAGGUGCACCAUUUACUGCUGACUCAUCUACCCUCACAUAUGAUGUUACAUAAAUGUAUACAUUAUAUAAUUAAAACGUACACAGAUCCUAGGUCAAUGAUACGCCAAACAGCAAACUUUUCUUUGUGGCAUAUCCCUUCACAAAUCCAACAAACACAAGAUGCUCUACAUAAACCAAGUCUCAUUAUCAGCCUUAGGGAGUGUUGUUACCCUGACAGGAAUUGAACCCAGGAACCUAGGAUUUGAAGGCAAGCACCUUAAUCACAAAGCUAUACAACUCCACUCCCUCCUUGUCAUCAUCACUGCAUUUGCUGUUGUCAUCAUCAGGGGCUGAUCUGAUGGGGAGGGGGAGUGCAGAACAGUUUCAGAAAAGGUACAACUACAAUUUGAUAAUGCACUCUAUCACAUCAUCUAACUGUUGAAUUUUCAAGGGAGUUGUUGACAUUGGAAGGAAUGCAACAAGAGGAAGCAGGCAAAUCGUAUGGGCAAAACGCCAGCAAUCUACAAUGCGUAAGAAACGCCAGUGUACGUGACUAUCUAAGCCUCGUGCUUACAUCUGUCAAUUGGAUGCACAGUUAAUCAAAGAUAAUUAGGGAAUUGUUUAAUUAAUAUCACAAUUUCGAAGGACAAUUAUAAAGUUAUCUGAUUCGGAUCUGAAUAACCUACUUUUUGUUGUUAUUGUGAUGAAUUAUUUGUUAAAGUUCAUCAUUAGUUGCUGAAUAAAGGGGACAGGAAGUCAGCAUUAACCAAAAAAUUAAAAAUAUUAAUUUUUAAAUGCAAGAAAUCCUUAUGAAAUUUCUAUUGUUCUUUGCUUUUUUUUAAGAUGCCUAUAUUUCCCACUUUCAAAAGGCUAAAUACCAACCUGCAGAAAUCAAAAUAUCCUGUUACGCAAUAAGUCUAAGCCUAGCAUAGGCUUAGAUGCGACUUUAGUUAAGAAACAAGAUAAAUUUAUUGUCUGAAUGGAAAUAGUACUGUAUUUUUUAACUUAACA